UAAGUUUGACGAUAAGAGGAACCACUUAAAAAUAAAAAAAUUAUGGUGGUGUCACAAAAUCGGAGGCCACGACUGUUUACUAAAAACACAAUUCAGAGCAAUGAUGAAAAUCAUAGUAUUCUGGAUGAAAUUUGCCCGAUGCCAUUAACAUAAAAGAGGUAAUGGGAAACUGUUACUAAUUGAAAGUCUGGUUAAUAGCGGUCUUAACUAUGAGGAUCCUAAGGUAGCAAAAUAAAUUGGCCAUUAAAUGUGGUCUGGUAUCAAUAGUGUAACGAUGGUCUCACUGUCUCUACAACUUGCUCAGUGAAAUUGAAUUAUCCGUGCAGAUGCGGAUUGCCUCCAGGUGGACGGG
RNAcentral lists this ribosomal RNA (352 nucleotides) under Thelephoraceae sp. 'Taylor #7'. RNAcentral's name for it is "LSU rRNA". It matches the Rfam family "Bacterial large subunit ribosomal RNA", at positions 1731 to 2084 of the family's 2925-position model. The record is from RNAcentral. Lineage: Eukaryota; Fungi; Basidiomycota; Agaricomycetes; Thelephorales; Thelephoraceae.